AAAAAAAAAAAAAAAAGGAAAGAAAUGAAGCUGUAUCUCCCCAUCGAGACAGCCUGGAGGGUCUGCCUCAAAGAGGAUUGAGGGGGAAAUGUUCAAUUUUAUUGAUGUGUUCUGCUGGGUCCUUCUCUCCGGGACACUGUUUAGUGCACCGAGUGAAGUGGAAAAUAAAGAGCAGGUGAGCAAUCAGCUGUGAAAAGCUUUAAUGGACCCAGUACCCCUUUGGGAAUGAGGCAAGGCUCUUGCUGGCACUCAGGACCAACACUAUUCCAGUUCAGUGGGCUUUGUUUUUGAAAUGGGAAUUUAACUCCCUCAGGUGGCCCCAGGAUGGAGGAAGAGUACUGCCUUUGGCAACAGCGGCCCAGCGGCCCCUUUAAAGAGAACCAAGGCCGCCGUCCCAGAAGGAACCCCUUGGCUCAUCAGGGGCCUUUGGGAAUUUUGAGCUUUCUGGGUGGGUCACGUGACCCCGAGAACAAAGCGAUGUUGUGACCACCUGGGCCUUCAAAGUAAUGGAGCUGAGACCAUCCUGGAGCGGAGGCUACCACGGGCUGGUGUGGAUCCAGACCCAGGGGGCUUGGGACUCCUGCAGCAUCUCAGCAGGAGCCCCGGGGUGGGCGGGCCUCUUUUAAGGUCUCUGGAGUGUUCUAUGGAGAAUGAGGCCUUGGAUUUGGUCUAGGAGGCUGGGAAAGGACGUCUCGCUCCGAAUAUCGAGGAGGAGAAGGAUGACGAAGAGCAGGCCGUCUGUGUUUACCGUACUGCAGAGCCUGAGCUAACUACCGUAUUUCUUAACCGUGUGAGCGAUACCUCCACUCCCUAACACUAACAAAAAUUUGGUCUUUGCCGGUGAGCUUCUCUUCUCUCCUACCCUUUCAGGUCCUCCUGGCUACUGAGCUUCUGCAAAGUUUAAUUUUCAGACCCAUCCUGGGACCCUAUCAUUUAUCCAUAAAAGGCAUGGAAUCCUGACACGUGCUACGACAUGGAUUCCAAGUGAAAACAUCAUGCUAAGUGAAAGAAGCCAGAUGCAAAAGGACAAAUACUAUAGGAUUCUACUUACCUGAAAUACGUAGAACAGACACAUUUAUAGACACAGCUUAGACAACAGCCUCCGAGAGCCAACCAGAUUUCCUCCAAGACGAAGACCCACCCUGGCCAGCAUUCUACCACAGGAAUGAUUAAUCUGGGCUUUGGGGUCCACCAACCCCUCUUUGCUGUCUCCCUCUGGUGCUUCCCAUCCAAGAGCUAACAGGGAGCCCGCAGGGAAGCCCGCAGUGUGGUUUGCAGAGUCUGAACUGCACGCGGCUGAGCCCGGAAGGGCAGGUUUGGAUCUGAGAGACGGUACCUCAGAGGUGACAGGGGAGAACUCAGCCCAAUAGAGGGCUGGCUCCAUGCUGAGUGGCAGCCAGCCAACCAAUGGGAGUGGGACAAAGAGAAAGAAGGUGGAUCCUGAGCACCGCUGGGGAAACUUUCCUGGUAACUUGCAAAACCUGCCUCACAGUCUGGAAUUGAAACCCUGGCAACCAGUUGCCUCUUCCCAGUUGCCACUUUUCUACCUUGUCCCUGGGUGUUCUUGAAAAUACAUUUUCAUUCCCAAAGCAUUCUCUCUGUCUCUGCCUUGUGAUCACACAUGGAGCUACAAUAAAUGCUCACCUACGAGGGAGUGGGAAGGAUCAAAUGUGGUAAUGUACAAGAAAGGUCUUAGAAUUGUUCAACAGGUAAGGAGGCGCCGGCAUCUCACCCAGGGCUGGAGCCACUCCUGGUCUUCCCCAGCCUCCUUUGUGAAGGUCACCUUUCUUAUGGCCCUGGUGGUCCCCAUCAGCAGGUAUCUUCCACGGCCCUCCAGGUGGCUGUGAGACUCCUGGGCUUCUGGACUUGCCCCCAGGUAAACAAGGGCAGCAGAAGUACAUGCUGGAUUUAGACAGUAUCUUCCCACCUAGCUGAAAGGACCUUUGAGACCAUUAAGGGCAACUCCUUAAUUUUACAGAUAAGAUUCCUGAGGUUAGAAGGCCAGGGGACUUGGCUAAAGUCAGGUGAAGACAUAAAGGGACAACAUUAGGGUGUGAGCUCUUUGUUCCCAGCCUUCCCUUGUCAUCCUAAUCUCCCAAUACGGUUUUUGCCCCUUGAUCCUGACUGUCCCCUCUGGUGCCUUUGAAUGAUUGACCUACACUAUCUUGUGGCUGCCUUCGAGGGCAGCACACCUCCUUCCGAAGGCUCUCUCCAGGCUUUGGGGCUGCAAGAUGAUUAAUCCAAGGAGAAGAAAGGCAUGCAGAGCCCAUGGGACUCAGAUCUUGGGCUGGGUCCUUGUUCCUUCUCACUGUCAUCCUCAGAGCAUUUUUGGAAAGAAAUGGGACUAUGGAUUACUCAGAAGAUAGCUCUGGGCAUUUCUCAGUUUACAGGUAUCUUCUGGGCAUACUCAUUCGUGACUUUCAGACCAGAAGCAUUUCAGCCUGAAGAUGACCUUCAAUCAAACCAUGGAGCCAACAAGUCUGGGGUUUCUUGACUCCUAUUGUCUUGACUGGUCUAACAAACACCUCAGGGAAUUCUGAUUCAGGUGGGCACCUUCCUGCUGUGUCUUCACAUGGUCUUCUUCUGAGUUUAUUUUCAUAGGUGGGAAGUCCUCAAAGGAUUUUCAAUAUUAUCAGAAGCUACUGAUGACAUGGAAACAGGUGUAAUGGCUGAACGCGGCUGGAAGUAAUAACCUUGGUCAAGGUGAACAGGGUAGGUGAAGGUCAAACUGUUCCAUCUGAAGCAUGUAUUGAGUACUUUGUCUUGUGCUCUAUCACCCAUUCCUUCAUUCUUUCCUGAAUCUAUCAGUCUUUGCCAGGCAUCUAGAAUGGGCUGGGCAACUGCAGAUACACAGGUGAGUAGUGUUAUCAAGUCCCUGCUUUUGUGAGUUUACAGAUUAGCUAUGUUAACUAUUAAAAAAUGAUUCAAACAAACACAGCCCUUACCUUUACAAACAGAAAGGAUCCGGCAGGGAUUAGGAAAUCACUUCUGGAGCCAGACUACGCCUGCAAGAUCUGUGUAGGCAAAAAUGGGUGCCCACUCCUGAUUCUCUGUACCCAGGAAACUGGUGAUGGGGUACUGGUCCAGUACCUCCAACCAUGUUUGCCAGGAAACAGCAGACAAAGUGGACCAUAGUCUCCUCUCACAUCUCAAGAGGGUGCUUCUGUUGUGCAUUUUUCCAUAUGGGAGGAGCUCUGUUAGUGCAACACUCCUGCCCUCCCUGCAUCCCUUCACAUUCUCCUUCCCAGGGGAGGUGGAAUGACAGAGCCGAUUGGCAAGUUGGAAGAAGAAACUUGACAUGCGUGCAAGAGUCCCCACCUCUUCUCUUUCUUUUGGGAGUAAGUCGCCCCCUGGGAAUGUGUCUUCUGCUCGGCAUUUCUAGGGACAAGGUUUCCCCUGCCAGGGAGGAAUGUGGUUUCCCAGUGUGGCCUGAGCCUGGCUUGGUAAAUUGGUCUGAUGUUGGAGUUCAGUGUUAGGAAGCUUACUUGCCUAUAGUAACACUUGCUAAUGCAGAUUUAUAGGAAAUAAAGGUAAUGGUUUGAAUUUGAUAUGCCAACUUUUUCCUUUCUUUUUCUUGUUUCCCUGUUGAUUGAGAAUCUGGUGAGGAAACUAGAUCUGGUGACAUGGAUGCAAACUCGCCUUGUGCUUCUGUCUGCCAUGAUGCCUGCUGUUGGGAUGACUCAGUCACUCUUGAAACAUUGCACACCCAUUUCUCACGUGAUCCUUAUAACAACCUGUUGGCAAGGGCAGGACUGGAUUUAUCAGCUGAGGAGCUAAGGCCACAACUAUUAGUGCUUCCAGACUAUUCCAUAUUGUGAUACACACAGGAAGUUGAAAAAAAAGUAUACAUCUACAUGCAUAUCAAUCUAUGCAUCUGUACCCAUAUCCAUGCCUCACCACGGAGAAGGGAUGAGGCUGCUGGCACCAGAGGGGACAAGCUCAGAGAUCUUGGCUGUCCAAGGCCGUACUUGCUUAUUGAAAGCAGUGAGAAGAGCAAUAUAUCAGCAUACCUGUAGACCCAUUCUUUGCCCACCAGUUGGAAAGUUCUAGCUAGGAGAAGCAUGCUAACUAGUUCAAGGCCACACAGUUAAUAUACAGAAUUUGAACCCAGAUCCUCUGAGUCUAACUCUAAAGAAUCUCAAACACAGUCUUGGGGCGCCUGGGUGGCACAGUCGGUUGAGUGUCCGACUUCAGCCAGGUCACGAUCUCGCGGUCCGUGAGUUCGAGCCCCGCAUCAGGCUCUGGGCUGAUGGCUCAGAG
Molecule: long non-coding RNA, 4260 nt
Organism: Felis catus (domestic cat)
Lineage: Eukaryota; Metazoa; Chordata; Mammalia; Carnivora; Felidae
Exons: 7
Source: RefSeq, a predicted model, not a curated record